UGAGGAAUUUUGCUUCCAAUGAGGAAGACAAAGGCUUGAAUGAAAGCAAAAUUUCCAAAUGUCCUCAGGGGCUCAAGAAAGCUAAAGGUUUAAUAAUUCCGUUCCAGGGGUAGGGGAGCGUUCUAUUCGCAGCGAAGUCAGACUGUGAGGUCUGGUGGAGUGAAUAGAAGUGAGAAUGCCGGUAUGAGUAUGCGAAAAGGUGAGUGAGAAUCUCACCCGCCGAAAACCUAAGGAUUCCUGGGGAAGGCUCGUCCGCCCAGGGUAAGUCGGGACCUAAGCCGAGGCGUAAAGCGUAGGCGAUGGACAACUGGUUGAGAUUCCAGUACCACUGAGAAGCGUUUGAGCGAUGGGGUGACACAGAAGGAUAGGUUAAGCGUGCCGUUGGUUGAGCACGCCCAAGCCCGUAGGGUGUGAGAUAGGCAAAUCCGUCUCGCGAAUAAACCUAAAAGGUGAUGGGGAGCGAAAUAAGUAGCGAAGUAACCGACUCCAAGCUGUCAAGAAAAGCCUCUAGCGAGCUUACUUAGUGCCCGUACCGUAAACCGACACAGGUAGGUAAGGAGAGAAUCCUAAGGCGCGCGAGAAAACCCUCGUUAAGGAACUCGGCAAAAUGACCCCGUAACUUCGGGAGAAGGGGUGCUCUAGAGAUAGAGCCGCAGAGAAGAGGUCCAGGCGACUGUUUAUCAAAAACACAGGUUCCUGCCAAUCUGAAAAGAGAAGUAUAGGAGCUGACGCCUGCCCGGUGCUGGAAGGUUAAGAGGAGAGGUUAGCCGCAAGGCGAAGCUUUGAAUUGAAGCCCCAGUAAACGGCGGCCGUAACUAUAACGGUCCUAAGGUAGCGAAAUUCCUUGUCAGGUAAGUUCUGACCCGCACGAAAGGCGUAACGAUCUGGACACUGUCUCAACGAGGGACUCGGCGAAAUUGUAAUACCCGUGAAGAUGCGGGUUACCUGCGACAGGACAGAAAGACCCCAUGGAGCUUUACUGUAGCUUGACAUUGGACUUUGGUAUGAAAUGUACAGGAUAGGUGGGAGACUGAGAAGCUAGGGCGCCAGCCUUGGUGGAGUCACAGGUGGGAUACCACUCUUUUUGUACUGAAGUUCUAACCUAGGCCCCUGAAUCGGGGUUGGGGACCGUGUCAGGUGGGCAGUUUGACUGGGGCGGUCGCCUCCUAAAGAGUAACGGAGGCGCCCAAAGGUUCCCUCAGCGCGGAUGGAAAUCGCGCGAAGAGUGUAAAGGCACAAGGGAGCUUGACUGCGAGACCAACAAGUCGAGCAGGGACGAAAGUCGGGCUUAGUGAUCCGGUGGUACCGAGUGGAAGGGCCAUCGCUCAACGGAUAAAAGCUACCCUGGGGAUAACAGGCUUAUCUCCCCCAAGAGUCCAUAUCGACGGGGAGGUUUGGCACCUCGAUGUCGGCUCAUCGCAUCCUGGGGCUGUAGUAGGUCCCAAGGGUUGGGCUGUUCGCCCAUUAAAGCGGUACGUGAGCUGGGUUCAGAACGUCGUGAGACAGUUCGGUCCCUAUCCGUCGCAGGCGCAGGAAAUUUGAGAGGAACUGACCCUAGUACGAGAGGACCGGGUUGGACGGAUCACUGGUGUACCAGUUGUCUCGCCAGAGGCAGUGCUGGGUAGCUAUAUCCGGAUCGGAUAAGCGCUGAAAGCAUCUAAGCGCGAAGCCGGCCUCAAGAUGAGAUUUCCCACAGCGUAAGCUGGU
This 1707-nucleotide ribosomal RNA is filed under the name Desulfitobacterium sp. PCE1. RNAcentral's name for it is "bacterial LSU rRNA". It matches the Rfam family "Bacterial large subunit ribosomal RNA", at positions 1068 to 2829 of the family's 2925-position model. The record is from RNAcentral. Lineage: Bacteria; Bacillati; Bacillota; Clostridia; Eubacteriales; Desulfitobacteriaceae.